AUCCAAAGCAUCAAACUCCUUUCUCAUGGCAUCCUGCCAGACUGGAACAGAUGCUGCUUGAGAGUAAUAGAGAGGUUCAGAUUCAAGAGAAGAAGAAGAUGAGGAAGAGCCAGAAAAAGAAGGAAGGUGACACACAUAAUCCUUGAGAUAAGAAGGAGGGUUGUGCUGCCUUCCAGACUUCCUGGAAACAGCAGGUGCUGUAGGAGGAGUAAUAUCAGGAUGGAAAGGUGGACUGGAAAUAGGAAGAUUGGAAGAGGGAACAGAACUGGAUGAGGGAGAAGAAGGGGCAGAAGGAGAAGGAAGAGAGGAAUCAAUUGGAAAAGACAAAUUUGACUCUGAAAGUGGAUGCUUAGAAGAAGGAACAAAAGGGAAAGAAACCGCAGGGGUAACAGGAGAAGCAAUACUAAAUGGAAAGCAAGUCUCAUGAAAUAUAACAUCCCUGGACACAAAGCAUUUUUUGGAAGUUAGAUCAUACAGUUUGUAACCCUUUUUGGCAAAAGGAUCUCCCAGGAAAACACAGAAGAUUGCUCUAGGCUUUAGUUUAUCCCUAUGUGGGAUUGGGACAGCAGCAUAAGCAAGACAGCCAAAAGCUCUGAGAUGAGAGUAAUUAGGUGCCUUCCCAUGUAAAAUUUCAUAAGGAUAUUUGUUUUGAAGGAGCCUGGAUGGGAUCCUAUUAAGCAAGUAAGUGGCAGUCAACAAACAGUCCCCCCAAAAAGAGAUGGGCAAUUUGGAUUGAAAAAGUAAGGCUCUACAAGCUUCAAGGAGAGUUCUAUGUUUCCUUUCAACAACACCAUUUUGUUGGGGAGUAUGGGGAACUGCUGGUUGAAGAAAGAAACACCAUCAAGACUAGACCCCAAUUCCAAAGCAUUGUCACUUCUUAUGGUUUGGACAGUAGCAUUAAAUUGAGUUUUAACCAUACACAGAAAGGAUUUAAUCAAGCAGAAAGCAUUGCUUUUAGAUCCCAGUAAAUGUGUCCAGGUUGCUCUAGAAAAAUCAUCAACAAUUGUAAGAAAGUAUUUAGAAGUAGAGGAAGUAGGAGUGUGAUAAGGACCCCAAGUAUCAGUAAAGUGUCUAGGUUGCCCUAGAAAAAUCAUCAACUAUUGUAAGAAAGUAUUUAGAGCCAGAGGAAGUGGGAGUGUGAUAAGGACUCCAAGUAUCUACAUGAAUCAAUUGAAAAGGCCUACAUAUACUGAUAGAGCUAUCAGGGAAGGGAAGUCUUGUUUGUCUAGCCAUAGGACAAAUAGAACAAGUAAAUGGCUGUUUAGAAGCAAAGGGAAAGGAUAAAGCAGAAAUGUGUUUCAGUUUUGCAAAAGGAAUAUGAGCCAGUCUUAAAUUCCAAAUGUAAUUCAUGUCAGAUGGAACUAUUUACAUUUGAAGGCAAAGUAACAGUCUGAUUGCUAGAAGAACAGACAUGAGCCAGUCUUAAAUACCAAAUGUAAUUCAUGUCAUUUGCAUCAGUGUUAUUACAAAUGGAACUAUUUACAUUUGAAGGCGAAGCAAUAGUCUUAUGGCUAGAAGAACAGACAUGAUUACAAGAAUAAGAAAGAGAAAACACAGAAGCAGAUGAACAACAGUUAAAAGAAGAAGGUGAAGGUGGCACCCAAGCAAACUUGUACAAGCCAACCUCCUCUUUACCAAGAUCCAGUGGCAUCUUCAGAGAAGGGGCCUGUAGCAUGUGAAGGAAACAAGAAGUUGCAGUAAAC
Molecule: long non-coding RNA, 1703 nt
Filed under: Nicotiana benthamiana
Lineage: Eukaryota; Viridiplantae; Streptophyta; Magnoliopsida; Solanales; Solanaceae
Description: long non-coding RNA (NBEN_LNC032582)
Source: RNAcentral